CCCCCAACCCCCACCCCUCACCUGCAUGCUGCCGAAGAGGGCGUGGAUAGCGUCCUCCUCCUCGGCGGCGCUGUGCCGCACCUCCUCCACCAUGGCCUGCAGCAGCGCGAUGGCCUCCCGCGUGGCCGUCUGCAGGGCCUUCACGGCCUGGGGACAGGGCGUGGUCAGGCUCGCGAUCGCCGCCGCGCGGCCCCGCGCGCCAGGCCCCUGCGCUCACCAGCACCGCCUGCUCCAGCCGCUCGCAGCCCUGCACGUAAGCCGAUUCCAGGUCCACGCAGUGUGCCCGGCUCUCCCUGCAGAAGGCGGCGGGUGAGGCCCGCUCCAGCGGCCCCCAGCCCCCUCCCCUCGCGUCCCCUGUACGCACUUCUGCAUGUCGCGGAAGCAGCGGAUGCACAACAGCAACUUCUUGUCGGUGGAGAACAAGAGGCACUUGGCGCUCUGAUAUACCCACUUUACAGAGGAGGGCACUGCGGCUCAGAGGCUGGAAUGUUCCAACUGCCACCUCCAGGAUAAAGAAGCAAGAGUGGAUGACACCAGACAGGACAGGAGCAAGCAGGAAGCAAAGCCCCCUAUUGAUAGAGCCAAACCGGGAUCAGCUGGAAAGCAGAAGUGUUUGCAGAGGCCCAGCCUGAUCAUUAUAGAGCCAAGAACAGCAGCUGGCUUUGGAGCUUGGUCAACCGGCUUGAGGCCUGAGUUGAAAGCUAGACCCAUCAGCACAGUCUCUUCUGGUGAUUGGACUUUUG
This 743-nucleotide long non-coding RNA is filed under the name Homo sapiens (human). RNAcentral describes it as "non-protein coding lnc-RPL22-1:1". The record is from RNAcentral. Lineage: Eukaryota; Metazoa; Chordata; Mammalia; Primates; Hominidae.